UACGGAGGGUGCGAGCGUUAUCCGGAAUUACUGGGCGUAAAGGGCAUGCAGGCGGGGUUUUAAGUCAGCUGUGAAAUCCCCGGGCUGAACCUGGGAAUGGCGUUUGAAACUGCGAAGCUAGAGUACAGUAGGGGGGGAGGGAAUUCCACGUGUAGCGGUGAAAUGCGUAGAGAUGGGGAAGAACACCAAUGGCGAAGGCAGCCCCUUGGG
RNAcentral lists this ribosomal RNA (210 nucleotides) under uncultured bacterium. RNAcentral's name for it is "partial 16S ribosomal RNA". It matches the Rfam family "Bacterial small subunit ribosomal RNA", at positions 524 to 733 of the family's 1533-position model. The record is from RNAcentral.